CUCAAUGAUGAGUUCUACUCUACAUUGAAAGCAAAGGCAUCAUCCAUACAGGGUUGUUUUCCUCAGAUUAGGAAGGGAAACUUCAGGUUCAAUGGAGUUACUUAUGACUUGGACUCGUUUCUUCACGCCCUAGGUUUGCAAAGGUAAUAUGACUCGAACGACUCAAGUGACUCGGAUGCUCAACAGGUACUAAUGGGUGAAGUACACUAUCCAAGAAGGACAUUACCACCAUCAGACCAACCUCAACAACAUCCCAUGUGUGAUGUACACUAUCCAAGAAGGACAUUACCACCAUCAGACCACCAUCAAC
Molecule: long non-coding RNA, 310 nt
Organism: Strongylocentrotus purpuratus (purple sea urchin)
Lineage: Eukaryota; Metazoa; Echinodermata; Echinoidea; Camarodonta; Strongylocentrotidae
Exons: 3
Source: RefSeq, a predicted model, not a curated record